AACGAACGCUGGCGGCAGGCUUAACACAUGCAAGUCGAACGCCCUAGCAAUAGGGAGUGGCGCACGGGUGAGUAACGCGUGGGAAUGUACCGUUUAGUGGGGGAUAACCAAGGGAAACGUUGGCUAAUACCGCAUACGCCCUUCGGGGGAAAGAUUUAUCGCUAAACGAUCAGCCCGCGUGAGAUUAGGUAGUUGGUGGGGUAACGGCCUACCAAGCCGACGAUCUCUAGCUGGUCUGAGAGGAUGAUCAGCCACCCUGGAACUGAGACACGGUCCAGACUCCUACGGGAGGCAGCAGUGGGGAAUAUUGGACAAUGGGGGCAACCCUGAUCCAGCCAUGCCGCGUGAGUGAUGAAGGCCUUAGGGUUGUAAAGCUCUUUUACCGAUGAAGAUAAUGACGGUAGUCGGAGAAAAAGCCCCGGCUAACUUCGUGCCAGCCGCCGCCGUAA
Molecule: ribosomal RNA, 449 nt
Filed under: uncultured bacterium
Lineage: Bacteria
Description: partial 16S ribosomal RNA
Rfam family: Bacterial small subunit ribosomal RNA
Source: RNAcentral